GUUCUCCUAUUUAUUUGUAUUGUAGUCCUGUAAUAUUAUGUUGUCAUUUCAAUGUUAUAUUUAACAUAACCAUUUAAGAGGUUUGGCAUGCCACAAAACCAGGAUCAACCCACAUUUUUUUCCUUUAAAAAUUUCCUGUACCAAGUCAGGAAGAUGGCCAUUGUUAUAUUAUUUUUCGUUUCUGUGUGUGUUACAUUUUAACAUUGCGUCGUUUGUUUUCUCUUAUUUUUGAGUGUAAAUUUACAUUGCGAUAAGACGUGUCACGGUACUUGUUUAUCCCAAAUUUAUGUAUUUGGUUUUGAUGUUAUGCUUGUUAUUC
Molecule: long non-coding RNA, 319 nt
Filed under: Mytilus galloprovincialis (Mediterranean mussel)
Lineage: Eukaryota; Metazoa; Mollusca; Bivalvia; Mytilida; Mytilidae
Source: RNAcentral